UUGGCUUCUGUGGUGGAAAAUCAGUUGUCAUAAUCUUUAAUCAUGUACUGAAUGCCUUUCACGCACAAUCUGCUCUAUAAGACACUUAAGAGUUCCCAUUCUCAAGGAGCGUUCCAUACACUUUAGGGCAUAAUGCAUAUACACAUUUACAAGCAUGAAAAAAAUUGGGUGGUAUAUGCCAAAAAUAUGAUAGGUGCUCAGAGGAGAGAUCUCUGUGAACUGGGUUGGUGGGAGACUUGAAUAUUUAGGAUCUGAGUUAACUCUUUAAUGACACAAAGGAUCUGGAAACCUGAGACUUGGCUAUGUCUCUUUGGACAAGUGACUUCUCAGAGCCUUAGUGUCCUUUUUAAGUGGGGACAGCCUCAAUGAGAAGGACACUAAAGGUGGCAUGUGCCAGCAUCUUUUACUCUUCUCUCUGCUAGAAUGCAGGUACAACACUCAAAGGAACACCAGUCAUCCUGUGGACACAGGCAUGAAAACUACCUGCUCAGGGUGGCAGAUCAGGAAGCCAGCAGCAGCCUGCCUCCUCUGCAAGCUGCAUGAGCUCCAGCUGCCCACCACCCGAUUUCUUGUUAUGUGAGAAAAGCAACCCCUACUGUUUAAGCCACAGUGGUCGAGUUUUUGUUUUUGAAAGUGCUGAUAUCCUCAAUGGACUCCUCUUCUGUGGUCAACAAUACUUUUCAUUGAGAAAAAUACUCAAUUUACAAGAGCAAAGUGAGCUGGGGAGUCCAACAGAGUCUGCUAAAUGGAAGAUACUCUCAAUUUCUCAAUUCUAACUCCUUUUUUCUAACCAAAAUGUAUAGAUAUUUCAGUCCAAAUGUUUGGCAGUACUGACUAGUUUUGUUCAAUGCCAUUUCAUUGUAACAUUAAUGAGAGAAGGAGAGAGAGAGAAAGUAAGGGAAGGGAAGGCGGAAGGGAAGAAGGUAGGGAAGGGAAAGAAGGAAGGAAGGAAAGGAAAGGUGAAAGGAAAGAAAAAAGGAAAGGAAAGGAAAGGAAAGAAAACGGAUUCCUGACUGGGCCACUGUGUGGGGGCUGCAUGUUCUCUCCAAGUCUACAUGGGUUUUCUCCAGGGCUCCAGCUUCUUCCCAUAACCCAAAGAUGUACAUGUCAGGUGAACUGAACUGGGGUGUCUGUGUGGUCCCAGGAUAAGUAAGUGUACAUGUGUGUGUGUGUAGGGGGGUGCUGCCAUGGGUGGCUGUCCCAUCCACAGUUGGUGCUCACCUUGCACCCCCAGCUGCCAGGACACGCUGUAGCCACCUGUGACCCUGAAAUGGAAUAACUGGGCAAAUAAUUAUCUUCCUUGUUUUUAUUAAUCUUUCUUUUUCUUUUCUUUUUUUUUUU
Sapajus apella (tufted capuchin) is the source of this 1341-nucleotide long non-coding RNA. RefSeq lists it as uncharacterized. NCBI's taxonomy places the organism in Eukaryota, Metazoa, Chordata, Mammalia, Primates, Cebidae. The transcript is spliced from 2 exons. The record is from RefSeq and is a predicted model, not a curated record.